GACGAACGCUGGCGGCGUGCUUAACACAUGCAAGUCGAACGGAAAGGCCCUGCUUUUGUGGGGUGCUCGAGUGGCGAACGGGUGAGUAACACGUGAGUAACCUGCCCUUGACUUUGGGAUAACUUCAGGAAACUGGGGCUAAUACCGGAUAGGAGCUCCUGCUGCAUGGUGGGGGUUGGAAAGUUUCGGCGGUUGGGGAUGGACUCGCGGCUUAUCAGCUUGUUGGUGGGGUAGUGGCUUACCAAGGCUUUGACGGGUAGCCGGCCUGAGAGGGUGACCGGCCACAUUGGGACUCAGAUACGGCCCAGACUCCUACGGGAGGCAGAAGUGGGGAAUAUUGCACAAUGGGCGGAAGCCUGAUGCAGCAACGCCGCGUGCGGGAUGACGGCCUUCGGGUUGUAAACCGCUUUCGCCUGUGACGAAGCGUGAGUGACGGUAAUGGGUAAAGAAGCACCGGCUAACUACGUG
RNAcentral lists this ribosomal RNA (468 nucleotides) under uncultured bacterium. RNAcentral's name for it is "partial 16S ribosomal RNA". It matches the Rfam family "Bacterial small subunit ribosomal RNA", at positions 28 to 507 of the family's 1533-position model. The record is from RNAcentral.